Molecule: long non-coding RNA, 509 nt
Organism: Pelobates fuscus (common spadefoot toad)
Lineage: Eukaryota; Metazoa; Chordata; Amphibia; Anura; Pelobatidae
Exons: 3
Source: RefSeq, a predicted model, not a curated record
GGGAUCGUACAGGGUUAUUUGCUGAAGUGAGAAUUGUUAGUGAUUUUCACAUUUAAAGAGGCCCUGUCACCGUUUAAGGGCUUUGCCGAAUUCGCAAAGUCCUCAAACGGUGACAUCGCCACUGUGGGUCCGGUGGCCGAAGGGGGCAGGUAAAGGUGAGUAGACGCCACCUUGGUCCGGCGUCGUCGUCCUCAGCGUUGACCUCACUGCUCUACUCUCGCACAGAAUCCCAAACUCGCACGAGCGACCUCAAGUCAUAAUGGGAGUUGAAGUUGACCACAAAAGUGCAGUGUAGGAUUGUCUACUGAGCCCAUCAUGUCAGCAGGAAGCCAGGGGUAAGCACCAUAGAUGGUGGUCAUGAAAACACUGCACGUACCUAGAAAGAGAAUCUAUUAACUAUGUUAAUACUGUCUGCAGAGGCCAAACAAGCUUUUGUUUUUGUCGUGACCACCUACUGGGUCUGCAAAAUAUGUCAAUGCUAUUUAAAGUGACAUUGUCAUGCAAACAUA